CAUCAGGUAACAUCAAAUCGUACCCCAAACCGACACAGGUGGUCAGGUAGAGAAUACCAAGGCGCUUGAGAGAACUCGGGUGAAGGAACUAGGCAAAAUGGUGCCGUAACUUCGGGAGAAGGCACGCUGAUAUGUAGGUGAAGUCCCUCGCGGAUGGAGCUGAAAUCAGUCGAAGAUACCAGCUGGCUGCAACUGUUUAUUAAAAACACAGCACUGUGCAAACACGAAAGUGGACGUAUACGGUGUGACGCCUGCCCGGUGCCGGAAGGUUAAUUGAUGGGGUCAGCGCAAGCGAAGCUCUUGAUCGAAGCCCCGGUAAACGGCGGCCGUAACUAUAACGGUCCUAAGGUAGCGAAAUUCCUUGUCGGGUAAGUUCCGACCUGCACGAAUGGCGUAAUGAUGGCCAGGCUGUCUCCACCCGAGACUCAGUGAAAUUGAACUCGCUGUGAAGAUGCAGUGUACCCGCGGCAAGACGGAAAGACCCCGUGAACCUUUACUAUAGCUUGACACUGAACAUUGAGCCUUGAUGUGUAGGAUAGGUGGGAGGCUUUGAAGUGUGGACGCCAGUCUGCAUGGAGCCGACCUUGAAAUACCACCCUUUAAUGUUUGAUGUUCUAACGUGGACCCGUGAUCCGGGUUGCGGACAGUGUCUGGUGGGUAGUUUGACUGGGGCGGUCUCCUCCUAAAGAGUAACGGAGGAGCACGAAGGUUGGCUAAUCCUGGUCGGACAUCAGGAGGUUAGUGCAAUGGCAUAAGCCAGCUUGACUGCGAGCGUGACGGCGCGAGCAGGUGCGAAAGCAGGUCAUAGUGAUCCGGUGGUUCUGAAUGGAAGGGCCAUCGCUCAACGGAUAAAAGGUACUCCGGGGAUAACAGGCUGAUACCGCCCAAGAGUUCAUAUCGACGGCGGUGUUUGGCACCUCGAUGUCGGCUCAUCACAUCCUGGGGCUGAAGUAGGUCCCAAGGGUAUGGCUGUUCGCCAUUUAAAGUGGUACGCGAGCUGGGUUUAGAACGUCGUGAGACAGUUCGGUCCCUAUCUGCCGUGGGCGCUGGAGAACUGAGGGGGGCUGCUCCUAGUACGAGAGGACCGGAGUGGACGCAUCACUGGUGUUCGGGUUGUCAUGCCAAUGGCACUGCCCGGUAGCUAAAUGCGGAAGAGAUAAGUGCUGAAAGCAUCUAAGCACGAAACUUGCCCCGAGAUGAGUUCUCCCUGACCCUUUAAGGGUCCUGAAGGAACGUUGAAGACGACGACGUUGAUAGGCCGGGUGUGUAAGCGCAGCGAUGCGUUGAGCUAACCGGUACUAAUGAACCGUGAGGCUUAACC
This 1321-nucleotide ribosomal RNA is filed under the name Escherichia coli O157:H7. RNAcentral describes it as "bacterial LSU rRNA". It matches the Rfam family "Bacterial large subunit ribosomal RNA", at positions 1625 to 2925 of the family's 2925-position model. The record is from RNAcentral. Lineage: Bacteria; Pseudomonadati; Pseudomonadota; Gammaproteobacteria; Enterobacterales; Enterobacteriaceae.